GGCCCCUUGGCGAAAUUUGGUAGACGCCGGGCGCUUAAAACGCCCCGCCCCCGUGGCGUGCCGGUUCGAUCCCGGCAGGGGCCACCA
RNAcentral lists this transfer RNA (87 nucleotides) under Candidatus Thiodictyon syntrophicum str. Cad16. RNAcentral describes it as "tRNA-Leu". RNAcentral also lists the same sequence under 1 other name. The record is from RNAcentral. Lineage: Bacteria; Pseudomonadati; Pseudomonadota; Gammaproteobacteria; Chromatiales; Chromatiaceae.